This 1536-nucleotide ribosomal RNA is filed under the name Enterobacter sp. 18A13. RNAcentral describes it as "bacterial SSU rRNA". It matches the Rfam family "Bacterial small subunit ribosomal RNA". The record is from RNAcentral. Lineage: Bacteria; Pseudomonadati; Pseudomonadota; Gammaproteobacteria; Enterobacterales; Enterobacteriaceae.
UUGAAGAGUUUGAUCAUGGCUCAGAUUGAACGCUGGCGGCAGGCCUAACACAUGCAAGUCGAGCGGUAACACAGGGAGCUUGCUCCUCGGUGACGAGCGGCGGACGGGUGAGUAAUGUCUGGGAAACUGCCUGAUGGAGGGGGAUAACUACUGGAAACGGUAGCUAAUACCGCAUAACGUCGCAAGACCAAAGAGGGGGACCUUCGGGCCUCUUGCCAUCAGAUGUGCCCAGAUGGGAUUAGCUAGUAGGUGGGGUAACGGCUCACCUAGGCGACGAUCCCUAGCUGGUCUGAGAGGAUGACCAGCCACACUGGAACUGAGACACGGUCCAGACUCCUACGGGAGGCAGCAGUGGGGAAUAUUGCACAAUGGGCGCAAGCCUGAUGCAGCCAUGCCGCGUGUAUGAAGAAGGCCUUCGGGUUGUAAAGUACUUUCAGCGGGGAGGAAGGCGAUAAGGUUAAUAACCUUGUCGAUUGACGUUACCCGCAGAAGAAGCACCGGCUAACUCCGUGCCAGCAGCCGCGGUAAUACGGAGGGUGCAAGCGUUAAUCGGAAUUACUGGGCGUAAAGCGCACGCAGGCGGUCUGUCAAGUCGGAUGUGAAAUCCCCGGGCUCAACCUGGGAACUGCAUUCGAAACUGGCAGGCUAGAGUCUUGUAGAGGGGGGUAGAAUUCCAGGUGUAGCGGUGAAAUGCGUAGAGAUCUGGAGGAAUACCGGUGGCGAAGGCGGCCCCCUGGACAAAGACUGACGCUCAGGUGCGAAAGCGUGGGGAGCAAACAGGAUUAGAUACCCUGGUAGUCCACGCCGUAAACGAUGUCGACUUGGAGGUUGUGCCCUUGAGGCGUGGCUUCCGGAGCUAACGCGUUAAGUCGACCGCCUGGGGAGUACGGCCGCAAGGUUAAAACUCAAAUGAAUUGACGGGGGCCCGCACAAGCGGUGGAGCAUGUGGUUUAAUUCGAUGCAACGCGAAGAACCUUACCUACUCUUGACAUCCAGAGAACUUUCCAGAGAUGGAUUGGUGCCUUCGGGAACUCUGAGACAGGUGCUGCAUGGCUGUCGUCAGCUCGUGUUGUGAAAUGUUGGGUUAAGUCCCGCAACGAGCGCAACCCUUAUCCUUUGUUGCCAGCGGUCCGGCCGGGAACUCAAAGGAGACUGCCAGUGAUAAACUGGAGGAAGGUGGGGAUGACGUCAAGUCAUCAUGGCCCUUACGAGUAGGGCUACACACGUGCUACAAUGGCGCAUACAAAGAGAAGCGACCUCGCGAGAGCAAGCGGACCUCAUAAAGUGCGUCGUAGUCCGGAUUGGAGUCUGCAACUCGACUCCAUGAAGUCGGAAUCGCUAGUAAUCGUAGAUCAGAAUGCUACGGUGAAUACGUUCCCGGGCCUUGUACACACCGCCCGUCACACCAUGGGAGUGGGUUGCAAAAGAAGUAGGUAGCUUAACCUUCGGGAGGGCGCUUACCACUUUGUGAUUCAUGACUGGGGUGAAGUCGUAACAAGGUAACCGUAGGGGAACCUGCGGUUGGAUCACCUCCUU